RNAcentral lists this ribosomal RNA (253 nucleotides) under uncultured bacterium. RNAcentral describes it as "partial 16S ribosomal RNA". It matches the Rfam family "Bacterial small subunit ribosomal RNA", at positions 524 to 776 of the family's 1533-position model. The record is from RNAcentral.
UACGGAGGGUCCAAGCGUUAUCCGGAAUCAUUGGGUUUAAAGGGUCCGUAGGCGGUUUUGUAAGUCAGUGGUGAAAGCCCAUCGCUCAACGGUGGAACGGCCAUUGAUACUGCAAGACUUGAAUUAUUAGGAAGUAACUAGAAUAUGUAGUGUAGCGGUGAAAUGCUUAGAUAUUACAUGGAAUACCAAUUGCGAAGGCAGGUUACUAACAAUAUAUUGACGCUGAUGGACGAAAGCGUGGGUAGCGAACAGG